AUACGUAGGUGACAAGCGUUAUCCGGAUUUACUGGGCGUAAAGGGCGUGUAGGCGGUCUUGCAAGUCAGAAGUGAAAUUCCUGAGCUCAACUCGGGCGCUGCUUCUGAAACUGCAGGACUUGAGUGCUGGAGGGGAUAGCGGAAUUCCUAGUGGAGCGGUAAAAUGCGCAGAUAUUAGGAAGAACAACGGUGGCGAAGGCGGCUAUCUGGACAGUAACUGACUCUGAGGCGCGAAAGCGGAGGGAGCAAACAGGAUUAGAUACCCUGGUAGCCCACGCUGUAAACGAUGAAUACUAGGUGUAGUGGGUAUCGACUCCCUCUGUGCCGCAGUUAACACAAUAAGUAUUCCGCCUGGGGAGUACGGCCGCAAGGUUGAAACUCAAAUGAAUUGUCGGGG
RNAcentral lists this ribosomal RNA (397 nucleotides) under uncultured bacterium. RNAcentral's name for it is "partial 16S ribosomal RNA". It matches the Rfam family "Bacterial small subunit ribosomal RNA", at positions 523 to 918 of the family's 1533-position model. The record is from RNAcentral.